This is a long non-coding RNA of Glossina fuscipes, 982 nucleotides long. RefSeq lists it as uncharacterized. NCBI's taxonomy places the organism in Eukaryota, Metazoa, Arthropoda, Insecta, Diptera, Glossinidae. The transcript is spliced from 2 exons. The record is from RefSeq and is a predicted model, not a curated record.
UAAAUUAAUAUAAGAAAUUUGUAAUAAUUUGUAAAAUUUUUACUCUUGAAGGGUGUGCGUGUGCGUGUACGUGUACGUGUGCAUGCAUGAUGACGUUACAUGACGUAAAAUUGAAUGAAUAGAUAAGGGUUCUCCUAAAUAUAGAUUUUUCACACUUUCUGAUUUGUAUCGUAUUGCUUCAGGUUGUUAUUUAUGCAGCGAUUGCAACAAAUGCAGUUCAAAUUUUAAAAAGUAUUGAUUGCAUAUGCUCUGUUGGUGUUCCAUUACUAUUACUGCUAUUAUUACUCUUAUUUUUUUAUUUUUGACUAUUACUACUUUUUUUUUUUCUUUAUAAUUUAAUUUCAGUCCAAAAAUUGCAUAACUCUUGCUUUCAGUGUUUAAAGACACGCUGGUGCAAUGAUUUGUAAUUGAGUGUAUGUCCAAAUUUAUUUCAUGUAACUUAAGCUGCAAUUGAAUCAUGCAAAAAUGAAUUGUGAUUGUGUGCGUGUGUUGUAAAGGUGAUAUAACGGUCUUAAAAAUACAUAUACAAUUUGAAAGAGAAAAGUUCUUUAAAUAUAACGUAAUAAAAGUGAGUUCUUUGAGGCAUGCAUUGGUCUUGUGAAAGAAUUGACGGUAGCUUGUGCAAUUGAAAGAAAGUUAGUGUAAAGGCAACGAUAAGAAUCCUAAUAAGAAGCCUCAUUAAUUCGAAGGGUAUCGAUCAUGUUAUGGCUUACAAUUUCAUUUUUGUUUUUUUUCUUUUUAACAGCAUUUCAUUAACAAUGCGAAAAAUGUAUAUACCUGAGAGCGGGUUUUAAAUGUCAAGGAAUUUAUUAGGCUAACUAACUUAAAUUCAUAUAUUGCAUAAUUCUGAACGGAUAAGCCAACAAAGCUGUCCUAUCUUCGCAUAAGCGUAACACGUAGUGCAUUGCUUACAUAAAAAAAGUAUUAAGACUUUAGAGGCCAAGUUGAAGAUUCUAUACAUUCAUCAUUUUAUUCUGUGAUU